Bombus impatiens (common eastern bumble bee) is the source of this 15092-nucleotide long non-coding RNA. RefSeq lists it as uncharacterized. Lineage: Eukaryota; Metazoa; Arthropoda; Insecta; Hymenoptera; Apidae. The record is from RefSeq and is a predicted model, not a curated record. The transcript has 4 exons.
CGUCAGCAGCGUAAACAACAACGCAAUAAAGGUGUUCGUACUGCCUUUCAACGAUUAAUUCGGCUUAAAUUUGAUCGAACCCGGGUCAUUAAAAUGUGUUUGUCGUAACCGUCGGCUAAAUCGCGCAACGCUCGAAAAUAAUUUGAUUAAUGCUCGAGCCCAUGACUCGUACGCUCGACCGAAUAACAUCGAAUGAAUGGCCGCUAUCGGUCGUACGUAUCCUCGAUUCGCGUCAGACCCUAAUCAAUUCGCUGUGUAUUCACGCGCAUCUUGUUUAUAAAGUUUUCACUGUAGUCCAGCAUGGCAGUUAUGAUGAAUAAUGAUAAUUACCGAAAGCGAAAUGGAACAGAGGUCAGGCGUUUCGCGGUGAUACCUCGGGAAAUCAUAGAUACCUGUCGCUCACACCGAGUUCGUCGUGCAACGGAACUAAGUUGACAUCGGCCGAGUAUUAAUCACUCCACUGACGUCACUUCGCUGAAAUAUCUAGACAAGAUUAAUCGUCUGUUUUUUAACGCUCGCAGCUUUAUUUUUAUGAUUCUAUCAUCGUGUCCUAUGCGACAGACCGGCACUCGGACGAAGCCAAUGAAAAUGAAAAUCAUACCGGCACCGAGAAAAAGUUGCUAUAGAACGCGAAAGAUCCAUUCGACGAACUCAUAUACAUUCACAACGCGUCAGGAAAAACCUCGUAAAACUAUCGUCAGACCCUCGUUAUCAAUAUCUCGCCAGAUUGCGCAAACUACACCGUCGUAAAUGGUUACAGGUACGUCGCUUCCGUCUAUAUAUCGAUAACAAAUACGCGAAUGUGCUCACCACGACUGGCAAUAACGUUGACGAACGCGCUACUCAAACGUGCGAACGAGUUUAUAGCGCUUCAAUUUAUAUACAAUUUGAAAUUUGUAUUUUAUGGAGCAGAGGAGAUAUUAGUGUUGAAGAAAGACAGCGAAUAAUACGAACACCAUCUUAUUGCUGGAAUCAAUAAAUUAAUUAAAAUAUCGCGUAUCGUGUAGUCUCACGUAUUGUAACUCGCGCAAUGACGACGACAAUAUUUUACGUUAUCGCGAGCUAUACGCAACGUGUUUAUAUACGGUGGGACGAACAAGUAGACGAAUUGGUAGAUCGUUGAAUUAGUGGGACAACGGCGUUCGAUGAUAUCGUCUAGUCUAGGAGUUGGAAUUCAUUUUCACGGCAGAGCGAUAAAGACGCAACGAUCUUCUGUAAUCCUUUUCUCAUUUUCACGGUUCAAGAAGGUCAUCUAUGUCGUUUGUCAAGUGAAAGCACGGUGUCACGUGCAAAGGCUGCGUGUCGUCGCGUCGAGGUGGUUUUCCCGGACGUAGAAAACGGUUUCAGGAUAAGAGAGUGCAUUUUAUGUGUCGCCCUCAUAUUUCGAAGGGAGUGGAAGGGUGGAAAAAAUUCGAGAUAAAAAGAAUCGAGCAAAUUGAUUUUUCUUCUCAAAGACUUGGAAUCCUAACGCCAUAGAGGGAGGAAGGGAGAAAGAGAGAGGGCAGCUUUGCCAUCGAAUAAUAUCUCUGUGCUUUUAUCUCGGCAUAUGGAUGCUCUGUUACUGGACGUUCUAAAUAAUCAGCUUACUUAGCAGAUAUAACACACAUAAAGUACGUUGUUUCGCUUUAAGAAAUCGCACAAAAUGUUCGCAAUUUGAUCGCGCCGCAAGGUGCACCGUUUCUAACUCGUUUUACGAAAAAUUUCGCUUGAAUCUGCGCGAUGAGAAAAUGCUAUGCGUCUAUGCAGCAAUUAAUACGUUGCAUUAUACGAUAUGUACAUACGUGUAAUUUAACUAAGGAGAUAGAUACUAACAAACUCGUUAACAGCAAGUUACGCAAUUAUACCAAGUGAGAAACUUGGCGUAGGCGUGGAGCUUGUUUAAUUGACAUAAUAUGUAAUAUCUUACGUAACGAGUUUCUACUUUGGACUUGGGAAAUCGAAGGCCAUUGUGAUGUAACGAAGAUGAACGCAAACUCGAAGCUCGGUGAGUUAUUAAAUUUCAAUCGUACCUUGGCGUUAUUAAAAAUCCUUUCGUAUCGUAUAUCCCAUUGAAUUUAAUCCACCCUUUCCGUACCUUGUUUCAUUGACCUCCACUUCACGUCCACGUCACAUUCCGAGUGACUACGCGCAGUCAUUCGCGGUUUUUGGGUCAACAUUGAAAUCCACUUCUCUGGCCUGGAACUCGAGCGUAGUGUAUCGUCGACUACUAUCAGAGGUAGUACCAUAAUAACCGGGAUUCAUUAGCGAAUCGAAGAAAAGAUCGAUGAUUUCGAAGAAGACAACGCGCCAUCAACGAGUGUUCACGAAUUGGGAAACAUUCGAAUUUCAGUGGAACUUUUUAGAAACGUUGCUUAGAGGGGAAAGAUCGUCGAAACGUUUCGUUCGACGUGCAGCUCGAAAAAUUGAAAGCAUCGUUGCAGCUGCCGAUGACAGACGCGAAGAACUGAAUACGAAGCCUUGUAUGUGACUAAUGAUUCGGAAUGCACUGGGUUAUCAGUAAUUCGUAUCCCGCAGCGUAUGCUGAUUGCGUUGCUACGAUUGACAUUGCCAAUAUGCUUCAUUAAACUUACUUGUAAAACGACAAGAACGUCGAUAUCGAUCUUUCAGAUGAGCUUUCUUUUCUUGCCGCAGACGUGAAAUAGUUACAUUUUUCACCGCACGCUUUGAUACGCAAAGGUGAUGAAAAAUUACAAAAUUAUUUGAAACUAGUCAUACCGCCAGAUACGAACAACAACAAUUCAAAAAUUCUAUCUAUAACGAAUGAGCUCGAACGAGGAUGUUGGUAAUAACGUAAAAACACGGAAAGAAGACCGAAUAUCGUAAACGACCACGAUUUACAUAUUCAUGGCAAUUAUUGUAAAUUAUUUCUCUUGAAAUCAGAAUCAGUCGACAGCUAACAUUUGUCGCAAUGAAUAAAAUGAUUUUCUUUAAUUCUAUUUAACAUCGACCGCGUAUAUCUAAAUAUUUGUCGCUGACGGAAUUUCGUAAAAAUCUUUCAGCCGUUAAAUACGCUAGCGUACCCUUUUACGAAGAAAAAAGAGAAUACGAGGAUCAGGCGAGGUUGUGUUUUAUUCUUUCGACCAAUAAAAGCCAAGCCAGAAAAGCAAUCGGUAUCGCUAUUCCGAACAAAAAUACGAUUCUAUUGGAUUCGAAUAUUCGAAAUAUGUUGAGCAGGGAUUCCCGAUGGAGCGAGUAGCAGGGAAUAAUCAUUUUUCAAGUUUUCCCGGGAGGUCAACGUCGAGUCCUGGUCAGAACGAUGUCAACGAGACUUUUAGCGUGCUCUCGGUCGUCACGGCAAUACCGUAGGCAAAGCACGAAGCCACGCAGCCCUCCGCCAAAUAAAACAAAGCCGUAGCGACCGCGUGCGAGAGUUCACACCACGACCGCAGAAACGGCUGCCAAGCCGAGCAGAAAUGUGUGCAGACAUAUCCCCGAAUCCCCGGAUCCCUCGAGCACUGACCGACCAAUUAACCUUCUGCACAUUCUGGGUCCUCUGCCUUUUCCAAUGACCAACUCUCCAUGCUUCACCUUUGCUAUUCGUUCGUUGCUUCCUCUCGCUUAUUUACAAAACGGUAAACUUUCCAUUCGGACGUUCGUUUUCUCUCGUUGACAUCUAAAUGCUCCGAACGUAUGUAUGUACGUAUCGUAUAAUAGAAAAUUCCGUUAAGUCUAGAAUUUAACAUACUCGCAUAAACCUGAUACACGCCGUGUCGGAGAAUACCUUGCGAUUCGUUUCAACCAGUGAAUUCCUGACUCGUUUGUUCUGCGUGUAAAUAUUAAAGCCGAAAAUAUCGGAUUGCGAAGGGAAUGCGAGCAGGCAAGCAAGCACGUCUCCACUUCUGACGUUGUCAUUCUCCCCGAGGCAUAAGCUUACCUCACAUACGAAAGCACGUGUAUCAUGCAUGCAUUUUAUAUUACCGUCGCUUUUUCACUGCGAAACUCAGCUCCAAAAAAUUCCCAACCUUUUUUCCAUUCUGCGUCCGCAGCCACGCAACUCUUCCUCUUGUUCCUCUUUCAAUCGCGACUUCAAUCGUUCUCCUUAAUUACGACGUCUUGGUAAUUCCGGUGAAGUUAGCGUUCGACCCGACUUUUUAACGAUGUACGAUUCGCGACCAAUAACCGCGUAGAAGAAAAGUCAAGGCACCAACUUUCCGCGAAGAGGUAUUUUCAUCGAUCAUUUGCAAUUCCUCUAUCGACGCCGUGCUGGCAAGUAUCGCGUCCUGGUUCGACUAACUUUACGACGAGGCAACAGGGGCGAAGCAAAAGCGUAGAAUUGCAAUCGUAACCGAAACGAUAACUCGUUUUCCGUAAGAAAAAAAUUGCGGGUGAUCCCUUAAAAUUAUAGAACGUUCGUUUGCUUAGCCUGGAAAUCGGGCAACGCUCGCGUAAGCUUCUCCAUAGACGACAUCUGGGUCAACCUCGGUCGUUCGUAAAUAUCGGCUCAAAGUCGCACCGAGAUCGAGUUUACGCGACCGCUUUAAUAAAAUGAUCGCGUGAAUUCGGUUCGGAAAAAACGACAAGUUCAGCCGCGAUGGAUACACUGGUCUGUGCCAGUAAGCGACUUUCAACGGGGAACGCGGACUUGCUAUUGCGUACGACACGGUACACCGAAAUCCGGGAUUAUCCGAUCUUAAUCCACGUAAGAGUGGCGAGUGACACGCGUGCAUGCGGUAAUACGCGACGCUAGGGUUCGCGUAUGCGGCUAAGUUUGCUAUAGUGGUAUUCACCGGAAACCCAGUUAGGGCUAGCAAUAAACUUUUAGUGGCCUUAGCCGACGCCAGACUUACCGUACGGAAUUCCAGUUUAAAUUGAAAAUUCCACGCCGUGAAAAGGCCGGGCAAACUUCCACGACGUACAUUAACGCGUGCCGUCAACUCGCACGGAAUUAGAACGGUCGCGGAAAAUCUUUUAAGCCGAGACGUGAAUGCUGACCAAGAUAUUUCCUUGAAUCCUGGUAAAUUGUUAUUUCUCGGUGGGAUGCUUAACACCAUCAUCGCGUUACGAGAUACGGGUUAAUAGUCGCUGUAUGCGCGAUUCUCGAUAAUGAGCACCACAGGUCACGCAAGAGACAGGGUUUGCCCCGUGGUUUCGCGCAUAUAUCCUGCUCUUGAUCUCCCGAUAUACGCAUUACCAACCGAAAUGCAUUCGCGACGAUAAUGCAAUAUCACGCGAAUCGUGGACUACUCGCUUUCAUCGUCUGUCACACCCUUGGGAUCGGAUCCUGCGAGACGUGAAUUAAGCAUAUACAUUCGGCGAAAAUAUAUCGUAGCGGUGCCCUGUACGAAUCGGGACAGAGAAAUACGAACAAACGAUGGUCAAGAAAAAUGGAAACAGAGAGAGAGAGAGAGAGGAUCUGCGAAUUCGAAUAAUAUUUGCGUGAAUACGAAAGGUUUUAUCGCGUGUUCAAAGUGUUGGAAGCCUCUUAUUAUACUUACGGAGAAUCGCAUAAGAACAACGGACGAAAAGGAGGGGGAAAGUAAAAACCAGCGAGGAGAAUUCUUUAACGGAGAAUUCAUGCGACAAGGGAAAGAAAUAACAAGUUCGAUCAAAGACGCUGGACGUACGUCUAAUUACAUCGUUAAGGUAAUCCGUUUUGAAAUCCUUAAAGCGAUUGUCCACGACAAGGAGACAUUAAAUGUACGCGGUAACGAAUAGCUAUGUACCUAUAUAUUUAUGUCGUAGAGUGAAAUACAAGAAAAAGUAGGAAACGCUGGAAGAGAAAGAAAGCGUUAACUUGAUACCUCGGAUAGAAAUGAAAACGAGAAAUGAAACAAAGGAAAGCUGCAAGGAAGGUGAACACCUUAACAAGAUAACCCGCUGGUUUGCGUUGAGAACUAAAACAGGAAUCGCGCGACUAAAAUACAUAAAAGACAAAGAACGAGCAGGAAUAAAGCGAAUACCUUGGCGAAUGGGUUCCUUAAUGAAAGAAACAAAUAAGCUAAUAAAUAGAAAAAGACCAAGAAUAAAGUAAAACGUAUUACAGGAGAUACGGCAGAGGGAAGAAAGGAAAAGCACAGUAAAGAGAAAUCAGCCAAGUUUUGCAUAUACGCGCGUUGAGUUGUGGCAUGGACCGAGCGAAAAUAGAAUACGAAGGAUGAGUUUACGCCGAAGGUACGUUUGCUGACGAGAUGAACGUAUAAUUUUGAACGACUGGAUUUUUUUAAUGUUUCCGUUAUUACGCGGUUAUUCCUCGAGAGCUUUCCAUUCAAUUACGUUAUCUUCGAGAUCUUGGAAUUUUAUCGAAGAAUUUCCUUUCGAUUUCGUCCGCUGCUUUCGGUCGAAAAUUUUUCUUCGCAUCUUAUCGUUGCAUUUAUGGCCGGUCGAUCGAAAAUACGGGUUUCAUCUCGGUCAAUCAAAAUAUCAAAGAGCGGAUAACUUAACGAUCUAUCAUUCACGAUUUGCUCGAUAGACGACCCAUCAAACCAUCCAUCGCGAAUCGAUGUUCGAACGGGUUUAACAUUAAUUCAACUCGGUAAAUUCGCGCUGCAAUUCAGCGUCGUCCAUUUCACGAUUGCCGAGCGAACAAAGGAAAGCACCGCACUUGGACAUUCACCUGCAUUGUCUCUUUUUUCAUCGCUUUGAGAGCGACAUCGUGCCGCACGGUUGUUAGAUACAAACACAAACAGACAGCGAUGGUGUCGUGGACGACCGUUCGAUUUGUGACAAAAUGGAUGCAACGGAACUUUUCAGCCAAUGGAUGUAAAAAUAGAUGAGACGACGGAAGUGUGGUUUUUUAACGAACAUGCAGCGGCAUCGAUGACAUUUUCCAAUCAAAAACCAUUAUUUACCCGACUAACAUGCGUCUCCAUGUAUCGGCCAUUCAUGCAAUUCUAUCGACAACGUACAAACGCUCUUUCCUUCAUCGACAUUGUCGUCUUAAAAAAUCUAUGAUCGCUAUUAAUCCCGCGAUAGAUAAGAGAAUCGUGAAAAAUGAUAACCGGAUAAAAAAUUGAAAAAAUGCUCCUUCGAGGUCGUUGAGCAAAUUCUUUUCAGAUCGUUCCAAGAACGUCGAAUCGUGGUCGUUCGAAUGCCACUCAAAGUCCACUUAGGAUCAAUGUUCGGCCAAUUUGUGAAAUAACUUCGCAAUGAUGAUAUCACCGACCGUAUGACACAUAUUUUUAAGCUAAGAAAGGAAGUAAGAUAUAGUUGAAACAUGGUACGCAUGUGGUGAAAAUAAAAUUUACAUGCAUGUCGUAUAAUGGCUUAAGUGCUUUCCUUCGCUGUCACGGUUUCUAUUCGAACAUCGUCUCUUGCUUUUCGUCCGUUCGGCACACAUCGGUUUCGACGUAUGACGAAAAUAUCGUAGGAGCCGUGCAUACCACCGUUACUAUUCGACCAUCCACGGAAACGACAGGAAACCUUUUUCUUGCCGCGAAAACCUAUCCAGCAGAAAGCUUUCUUGUCAUGCGGUGCUUGCGACCCGUAUAUGUAUACUCGCAGCUUUGCUGUCACGGAAAAACAUGUGUCAUGCUUAUGUAACCCUCGCUAGAGGACAAACCGUCGUCAGUCGUUCGUCGUUCGUCGUUCGCCUGUCGAAUGCAGCUACGGCAGCGUUAAAGUAGCAGUUCAGCGACUGGCGGAAUGCGAAUUUCAAUUAUCGAAACUCGUCCAUGUAGCCUCUUCCAGUUCGUUUAUGACAGGGGGGGGGAGGGGGGCGCGAAAUUACGAAACGGCAAAGUCACAUCGAACGGGACGCGUCGUUCUAUAUUCACGCCAACGAUUGAAAAAUUAUAGACUGUCUGGUGGAUUACAAAUGGCAGACGCGACCAAGUGGAUUGCCGGAUUGUUCGUUGUAACACGGUCAGUGACGAGCAAAUACCCGUGUGCGCGGCACGGUAACAAUCGUCACCGUGUUCGUAGCCAAAUACUUGUUAAGCGGAUGAGAUUCCGUCGCACCGGUUAAGCAUCGCGGAAUAUUUAACGAUCGAUGGAAUCCUGAUACGAUCCAACCGACAACGGAUAAAUUUAAUGGUUUCGCAAAUCCAGUGUCUUUCUCUUUUUAUUUCUCUUUUUUUUUCAUCAUUUCCCUCUCGGAGCAUCGGAAGUUUCUAAAACAAGUAUCAGCGGGAAGACAUCGAAUACGUCAGCCUGUUAACGAUGACAGCGGAGCCUCGAUUCAAUCUCGAUAAUCGAAAUGUCGAAGGAAGAUUACGCUAAACAAAGGUUGGAUAAAUUGUUCGGACGUAAAGCCGGGUAGAAAGAAGGGGUGGAAAGGAGGGACAAGGUGGAAUUGAACGGAAAAUCUUUCUUAGUACGAUUAUAGGGGUCAUGCUUGCAUUGGCGGCUGUACCCCAUCUCGGUCUUCGCAAGGUUGCAAGCGGCUUACGGUUGCGAGAAGACGCGUGCCGAAGUCUUAAGGUGUCCUUAAUCCAGUCGUGAUCAGCAGCGUACCGCCCAGGUUCUACUCUCUCACCGGUUGAUCCCUGGAAAUUGGAUCGAUAAGCUCUUAUUCGGUCCACCGCCUCCGACUGGAUCCUAGCGGCGUUCGUCGAGUUGCUUCCACGAUAUUGCGACCGUUAUUAGGUUCUAUCAGUCGAUGCGCCUACCUGUUCUCUAGUUCGAUUCGACUCGCUUCGAUUCGAUGGAAUUGUAUGUAUGUACAAACUUGCUGUCCGAUAAGCGUCCAUAAACGGAAACGCGCUCGUCCGGUCUUAGCUUUUCUCCAUCUUUUGAACAGCAACAUUUGCCAACGAUCCAGACGUUAUUGUUUUCCAUAGGUUAUCCGUUCCUGUUAUUCGCGUCGUUAGCCCCUACGCGAGAAAUUCAACAUUUCUCACGGAAAACGCUUAUUCGUUCUCAAUGAUAGAUCGAUCGAAGAAAUCAUCGUUGUUUUACAUCGAACCGUUGAUUUCUUUUUUUUUUUUUUUUCUCGCACGAGUAACAACACGCAGGUUUGUCACGACGAAAUGCAACGGACAAUGACGUGAUUAGUGUAGGGUAAAGUUCAGCUAGACCAACUAAUGGCUCUGGUAACACGGUCCGAUUGAGUUGCUGGUGUUGUCCGAGUUUGACCUAUCGUUGUUUCGCUCGAAAUACGUUGCUGAACAUGUAAACAUUCCUGGAUACAUUGCGCUGUGGGAUCGCUUUUUAACGAAUCGUAACUCGAAGACAAUGUGAUGGAAUCGUUCGACUUUCGUAAAAUUCUACCCACUAUCGUACGAAUUUAAAGAAAAAGAAGAAAAACGAGAUUUGAAGGUUUUUCUACGAAUAUAAAAAUUCGAUGCGAUUAGUCAAAGCCCGCAUCCUGGCGUAAUCGCUGCUUUAAUCGCUGUUACUUGUGCGGUUUAAACACGGUUACCUAUUUUAAAUAACUCGUUCGAAGAAAGCGUAGUUUACAACGAAGAAUUAGCGAACGUCAAGUCCGUAGAACAAAUUCUUUCUCGUGUGGCGUUUUUCGCGUGGUAAAAAUGAAGUUUGCUGCUCGUUAAGGAGAGUAAAAACGUGGCAUAGCGGUACCGCGCCGCUCUUCGAUGAUGCAUAGAAAUUACUGGACACGCGAAUCGCUAUGAUUUCAAAUUUAUAGGACUAUUAUAGUCAAAAGACGAAGAAUCGAAACUGAUUGGAAAUAAUGGUGGUUUGCGAUCGUUUGGUUUAGAGAUAAACGAAUGGAAAGCUUUCGAGAGAAACGAACGAGGAAAGAGAAAAAGCUGAACGGCGGCGUCCAAAAGACAGGAGAACGGUUUCUAAUAAAACAUGGCCUAGCCAGUUCCACUACCAACACCCCGACAUUCUCAGCAGGACGUGGACACUAUCGGUUUUAUUUACUUUUAUCGUGUUCCCCUUCUUCCAUUCUGUGCACACUAUUUCCUUCCAUUUACUUUGCCGUCCACUUACUUUCUCAUUUUUGUUCCUUCGUCUGCUAUCGUUCUUCUUUUAUAACCUAGUCUGUGUAUCAGAAAGAAGAAGACCGAUGAGAGUAGAGGUCAGAGGGAAUAAAAUAGAGUUUAGGUCUUUACGAGAGAAACAAGUAAGUACGUGGAUCAUCGUUCGUGAGUAAACCGCGACCAAUUCUCACGGAUUCGUAAUUAGAAAGCUUGUAUAGGGAUUAAGAGUGUCGAUUAUUUUGAAGAGAGCUCGAUAACCGUUUUAAAUUACAGUUUAUAAAAAAUUAAUGUUAAGCUGGACGGGAAAAUUACGUAUAAAAUCAGAAAAACGACGGAACGAUACGACGCCACUCCGAGUUAAUUUAUUCAUAGUGGCGUUAAAAUAUUCAUUGAACGCGAAAAACCGACGCUUUUGUUACUUGUUUUUCAAACUGUGUACAUCAAACGACUAUAUCGAUUAAACUUAUAAAUUAUGAUUUCAUCCUGCUAGUUGCCAGCGUAUCUUCCGACGUUGUUCAAACUCUUUGGACAAGGAUCCUAAAGGAAUAAGUAGAAAAAUCCGAUUUAACGCUAACACGGUACUGUUAACAUUAAAUAACUGUUAGCGAGCAUUUUGCCUGGCAGAAAAUCCCCGAUCGCUUACAGAUUGGCACGAUUUUGCUAGUCGGGACUAUCGGAACGAGGUCGUUUUCCAUAACCGUUAGAACAAACGACCCGCCGAUAACGAGUCCCAUAAAUCCGCGAACGAUCGCCGAAAUCGACUUGUUUCCAGUUUGCAACCGAUAUUUCACGGUAGGUAUAAUUUCAUUGUUGUAUGCGCGUUUUCACAGUGACGAGCGACACAGUGACAUUCGAUAAAUAUGAACGGCGAGAUUAUUUGAAUUGCGCGUUAUACGACCCAAUUAGUACCUGCACCGUAAUUUUUUCGACGUAUUCCCUUCCCGUACACGUGUACGUAAUCCGAGUUUGUAUUCGCGAGUCCAUCGUGUUUUCUCUCCUCGCGCGCAUCUCGGUACACGCGAUCACCCUACGAAUAAAACGGUAACCGAGUUCCAUCCAACAGAGAACAAACGAUAAAUUAUCGGAAUUGGCUUUAAUUCGCACUGUCGUUUCGACAAAUAAUCUUAAUUGCGGCCAUAGCAAGAUGUUUUCACAAUUUCAAUUUAUUGAUCGAUAUAACGACCGCCACCGCAGCAGAUUCACCUUCGUAAAUUAAUUAGUAGAUGUAAUUCACUUCCGGUGGGUAAUAACGGAUUGCGAAGGUAGUUUUCUGGUUCGGCGGUGAGCGCUAAAUGACAAUUUACCUAAAAGCAAAUUCACCGGUUAUUGCGGAGAGCUGUGGAAACCUCGAGGCUAGUGGUGAACGCACACGCUGCGCCGCAUUCGGUCACAUCUGCCCGCGCGUCUCGUCUUUGUCCAUUCGGAUUUUAAUCAUCCGCGUAUAAUCUCUUUCUUUCCGUUUAAUCUGCUUCGUCCAGGGAGAAAUUAAUGGAUCGUGAACUCGGUCAGCACCGCUGGACGCUGACUGUGCCGUCGCACGAACCCCAUCGUCUAACCGUACUAAAAUGAUUAAAAUUUUUUUCGAACAUUCGUUAACGACUUGCCAAGGAGCCUGAAGAAAAUCCGAGACAAACGAGCACCGCGGAAAACAGAGUUUCGAUUCCGGAGUUUGUAAGGAACGGUGAAAAAUGGCUGGACGUUUUGAUGCAUCAUCGUCGAGUCUAACCGUCCCAAUUUUAUACGCGCAAACAUAUCCUCGUAACUAAUAAAUCUUUCGCCCCGAUUGUUUAGCUAAUUCCCACGCUUGCACAAAUACCAACUAAAUUGUCAUCGGUAAGGCAACAAACAGCGUUGUCCUUAUUUUAAUGGCUCCCUUUAUGCUCUUUAUGCGCGAUUUUAGAAUUAAUUUGCCGGCAACGGUAGCGGUAACGGAACGUGCGUUACAAAUCACGCGUAAUUCGCAAUAAAGCGUCGUUACAGAACAUUAUUGUUCCGACAGGGUAGCGGGAAUAAUUAGCAGGCGAUAGCGAGGCGCAAGGGCGAUAAAUUGCUCUUUUGGGGCAUCGCUUUAUCUCGUCGGCGACGAAUGGAGAGCUCGGAUUGCAAAGAAAAACUGAAAAUACGAAGACGACACAAAACCCAAUCCAAGAGAAUUCAUAUCGAUUCUAUUCAACGAAGAAUCGACUCGAUUAAUUUUUCGAUUUCGCCUGAUUUCAGGCUCGAUUGUACAACCAUGAGAGACCGUCCUUCUUGUCUCUUCUUCUGUUUCGAACAGUCGCGCUGCCACGAUCCUUCUCUCCAGCUUUCUUUCUCGUCGCGUCGCGUUGCCCCACCUCUACCCUGUUCCGCUUGAAUUUCGUCUUAAUGGCGACGUAACGUUCUAUUUAUCGCAAGAUAGAAAACUGGCAGAAGUUGAACGCGUUCAGUUAACCAAGUUCCGCGCGGCUCCGUGUCGACGGAAAAUUACAGCUAUUAAUCGUAAAACUGUUUUCAUUAGUCGGUUUCUUUCUUUCACGACGGUACAUAUUGACCGGUCAGAAAGGAAAACGCGCACAGCAAGGCAAUUCCAUUCGCCAACUGGUUACUUUCAUCGACAACGUCCGCGACGUUUUUCCAGCCUUCCACCCGGCUUGCACGUAAAUUAGAUAUGUGCGCGCGCUUGUUCAAUCAAUUCGGUCCACGUACACAGGGGAACGUUUUCGAUAUUCGCUUCAUCGAUUGAAGUCCUGCAUGAAUGGCCAGUGCAUUCGGUCGGUCCAUUCCAACGACACAGCAACAAGAUUGCUGGCCAAGAAAUAUUUGCGUGAUUUUUUCUAGCCGGAAACCAGCAUAUAUACGUGGACCUGUGCGACUCGAUAACCGUGUGAGGGCAAACGAUACAAGUGGAAAUAAUCAUGGAUGAAACGGUUGCGAUCGCCCCUUUCGUUCUCCGAAAAGCGAGAAAAGUAACGGUAAAGUUGUACUCUCGUGUCUGAAAUACGGACGAUAAGCUGAGAAACGGACGAUAACCGUGUGCUCUAUGUAGCGAAACUCUGACGAUCGUUCUGAUCUGACGAAGAUCUGACCUGCAAGAAAGGAACAAAGCUCAAGGAAGACAACUAUCGAUUCUUGUAAUGCGUAACGUUUGAUUAACGAGACGCUUUUCCGCACAAUUACGUCAUUGCGAUACGUCGACGACGAUAGGAUAGGUGGAGGAAGCGUUGACAGACGUCUAUCGCCAUGAAGGCGAACGAUGGGAGGCGUUCACCCUUUUGUCGUGAUCGGAUAAGCCGAUAACAAUGGAGAUAAUGAAGGUAGGACUUCUGUCAACAAUGGGAUUUACGAAGCAACCCGAUAACUAUUAUCAUAAAAAAUAAAUGUUUAACAUUUUGGUUCUAAUUGAAUUUCUUCAAGAGGAAAAUAAUUUCCUGGAAAGAAUUUUUAUUCGGGCAAGUGAAAUUGAUGAGAAAGUAGCGGAAAUAAUAACAAAGAGGAUAUUAUUGCAGUAUAAUAAUUCGUAAUACGUGAACAUCCUUCUAGGACAUCAUUAUCAUCCUUAUCACCAUGGGCGGUGCGGUUCCACGACGUUAAAUUUUCGGCCUCACGUGCCGUCAGUUCUAAAGAGGACACGACGCUAGCUAAUACGUACUUGUUAUUCAUUUGAUUAGUUUCGUCAACGUAAUUAUAAUUUAUGUGUAUAUAUACAUAUAUUUCAAUAUUUGCAUAUUUAUCUUCCAUGAUUUUAUAAUUAUUAUUUACACGUUAACGAAUUGCUAAUAUCGUUACUUGUUGUAUCAUCAUUACCAUUAAGAAAUUGCAGAUGGAAUCCGCGCGUACAAGAACCUCCGCCUCGUUGCAAGACAUUCUUGGAAGUCACGGCCACCUCUGCCCACCGCGGGUUAAAGGCGGCGCUAAGGUACGAAAGCUGCGAGCGUUUAAGAGUUCCAAGGACGCAUAAAUAGCAAGCUCGUUUGCCCGAACAAGUCCUCACUCCCGAAACUCGGUACAAGAGGAGCUGGCAAAUUCCUCGUUCCAUUUUCAUCCCAGACAAUAUGCCUCUCGCGGCACGACGAACUUUCUCGGAGCAUAUUUUUUCGUAGAACGUCGCGGGGUUGGAGCGCGUCUUAAAUCAUUUGGAUCUUCUCCUUCUCGUACUCGGUGGAAUAUCUGCUCGGUUCGAGAAGCGGAACGAAAGCAGGCUCUGCGAAUAAAGGAAGAGCGGAGGGAACGGAAAGAGAGGACAUCGCGGUCCAGCGCGGGACGUCGGAAAGGGUUGUCAGCUCAGAAGGGGAUUAAAGAAGAACGGAAUUUCUAGUAGUUAUGCCUGCCGGACUCGCAGCCUGCCUUGAAUUAUGAUCGCGCCCACUCCAGUCUCUAUUAAAGUAAUAAAUUUCCAAUUCAAUAAUAUGUCGAGUAUCGUCGGAUACAACCACUGUUCGACCUAUUCCUUUGCUUAUAGCCUUGUAUACGUGUUUCUUUUCACCUAGGCGUCUCCGUGUCGAUCUCGAACGAACUGUAUAUUCGGGUUCAACGAAAUCUACGUGCGCUGCACUGGCAACGUCCGAGACUGUAUACGUAUAUGAACGGGCGGUCAUAUGUUCCGACACUUGACAAAUUGUCCCAAUCCGGAACUCGCCGUUAAUCUAUUCGUCGUUACCUCUCUGUUCGUCGGAUCUUGCACGAAGAUCGAUAUCGUCAUUGGCAAACUGCCUAAGUCCGAAUAUGCCGGAUGUAUAACCAGCAGGAUUCUGUCGUCUUGCGAAAUGGACCGACGACGCGAUGUUCCUCUUUCUGUUAUUCUUUUCGAACGAUUCGCGCGUUCUUUAUGACCAGUGGCAGUGGAGUAGAGAAGCCGCUAACUCGUCCUCCGAAUCCACGCAUGUACGGAUUAUCACAGCGGAUAGCCGGCCGUUCCUACUCGACUAGAAGAGAUUACACGCUCCGAACUUCGACAGUUAACGCCGCGAUAAAUUAUAGACCGUGGUGAAGAUCGCGCAUUGACGUACGAGCGGUUACGUCACUGUUGCCCCGCUCGCCACUAUUAUCCUUUCCCGCAACACGCGACCCAACAUCACGAAUGAUGCACCGUCCAAGUUUCCAACUUUUCAUCGAUGAAUCUUAAUUCGGCUGGUGCGUUGCUCCAACUCGCGGUAUCCUCGUAAUUUCAACUUACCAAAUAUAACUAUGUUGCGUUGUUCUGCGAUAAAUGACGAACAUCGGAGUGAAUCAAGGCUUGAGUUGAUUUCAUAGUUUCAUUGUUCAACGAAGCAAUGGUAUUCGUUAACAAAA